RNAcentral lists this non-coding RNA (542 nucleotides) under Pongo abelii (Sumatran orangutan). The record is from RNAcentral. Lineage: Eukaryota; Metazoa; Chordata; Mammalia; Primates; Hominidae.
GAAGAAUUAAAAUAGUGCUUUUAAUAUAAUUUUCAGCAAACGUACAGUAUGUACUUUACAUCACAUAUUUCUAAACUGCUCAUUUGGAAAAUAAAAGCUGCAAAAAUACAGAAUACCACACUCAAAAAUCUAUUGAGUAUGUGCUUUUUUCCCCCCUCCAUUCUGUGCAACAGGGUGGUUUUUUACCCUCUCAGCUGAUUUCGUUAAAGCUGUUGGAGCCCUCCGUCAGAGGAGCAUUCCCAAGAGGGGAGUUUCUAAAGCAUGUCGGCAAGCCAUCCCCAGAGGAGGUAGAGGGAUGGGUGGAAGGGAAUUUGCACACCAGGUCAGCAUGACUCUUUAGAGACUCAGGAAAGAUGCCUACUCUGAGAGCUGUUUGGAGUACUCCUGACCGUUAAGUCUCCUCUUUAGUCCUCAUCACAGGAUGAAGGCGAAGGAUUUGAGCGCGAUGGCGAUGCUGACAUAUAGGUAUCUGUAGACCACAUUGUCAUAGAGGACGCAGGCGCCUCGCUCCCCACAGAACGUGCUCCAGAACAGGCAGGUGG